This 1190-nucleotide unclassified non-coding RNA is filed under the name Hevea brasiliensis (rubber tree). Lineage: Eukaryota; Viridiplantae; Streptophyta; Magnoliopsida; Malpighiales; Euphorbiaceae. The record is from RNAcentral.
GUUUGACAAAUAUGUCACAAUACAAAGAUAGAUCAUUCACAAGCACUUGUACAGCUGUAUCAUUUACUCAAUUUUAUUUUAAUAAUAUCAAUAUUUAUUUUACAAAACGUAUAGUUCAUGACUUGACAUACAAGUGCAACACAUGUGUCGAGGAACUAGUCCACGAAAGAAGGGAUAUCAUAACUUGCAUUUUGUGUACUACACUAGGGACCAGAGUCACCAGACAGAAAAGAACCUCAGAUCAGUAUAGACUCAUAGCCUUCCUGAUCCCUUUGAUUCCGACGUUGAUAAAUAACAGCAGCACCAACAACUAGUGCAAUUCCAAACACUGCCAAGGCUCCAAUAGCACUUUGUAAUAUUACAAUCUCACCUGUUUCAUCUGUGGAAUGUAGGAUAGAAUUAGGCUUCGGUGAUGGUUCAGCAACCAAGAGAUAGAACAACCCCAUCACUCCUGUAUGCCUCUGGGCAUUGCUAUAGUUUGAUAGUAAAGUUACAGUCUCCCCUGCCGAGAUCUUAAUAGAGCCAGGUCUAGGAUAACAACUAGACAUCCCGACUAUGUAACCAGCUUCAUUUCCUGGUUCCUUUCCUUCCCCGUAGAUUGGAAUAGAUGAGCAUAUGCCACGUCCAUCCUCUCCAUGGAGUGCCAUACCAGUCCCUCCUGUAUGUUGAUGAGCAACUCCAUAUAUGACAUCUCCGCCGCUAGGAAAAGUUAAGAUUAUCUUCUUUGUAUGAGUGCAAUCGACAUUUGCAACAGCUGAUGAACAUGAUUCCACUAAAUAUUCGAUCUGGCAGUGAUGUCUUGCCACAGUGGUAGUCGAUUUUUCUGGCUUUUUCCAUGUAUCAGUGAUAUCAAGUAUAUAAAUUUUGACAGGCACAAUGGAGGCCUCCCAAUCAAUAUACUUCACUGUGUACUUGAGGUACAGAUUUCUCCUCGGUCCUUGGAAUCCGUCUUUCACCCUGCAUUUUGUUUCAUCAUAACAACAUCUCAACCCUCCAAUGUAAUCUGGCUCUAUAACUCGGUCAUGCUCGUCCUUGGUAACAUUAUAAAGAUCACACCUGCACUCAGUACAUCCCAAUCUAUCUUCUGCACCUCGUGUAUCAAUUGCAUGUACAUUAAGCAACCAUUUCUCCUCAUAUCCAGGAGGUACUUCCACUGGAUUACCGACUUCUAUUCCAUAAGGAUCUGGAAC